CUAAUAGUAGUCUAGAGAAAAAGUACUUGUUUUGUUACUUGCAGAGAAUUGGUGGUUGGUGCGAGCCAAUAGUUAACAAACGAGGAAUCCACUCUCCAAAUGGCAUAUAGUGAUAAGCUAUAUCGAUUGACCUUCGUUAUCUGGUCUACAAGGGCAGCGUGAAGCUGAACUUGGGUGGUACCGCGAGAUUCUCGACCUUUUCGUCCCAAGA
RNAcentral lists this non-coding RNA (211 nucleotides) under Enterococcus canis. RNAcentral's name for it is "T-box sequence". It matches the Rfam family "T-box leader". Rfam says of the family: Uncharged tRNA acts as the effector for transcription antitermination of genes in the T-box leader family. T-boxes are found upstream of many aminoacyl-tRNA synthetase genes and some amino acid biosynthetic genes usually in Gram-positive bacteria. The anticodon of a specific tRNA base pairs to a specifier sequence within the T-box motif, and the NCCA acceptor tail of the tRNA base pairs to a conserved bulge in the T-box antiterminator hairpin. The record is from RNAcentral. Lineage: Bacteria; Bacillati; Bacillota; Bacilli; Lactobacillales; Enterococcaceae.